CCUACGGGUGGCAGCAGUGAGGAAUAUUCGUCAAUGGACGCAAGUCUGAACCAGCCAUGCCGCGUGCAGGAAGACGGCUCUCUGAGUUGUAAACUGCUUUUGUACGAGGGUAAACGCAGAUACGCGUAUCUGUCUGCAAGUAUCGUACCAAUAAGGAUCGGCUAACUCCGUGCCAGACGCCGCGGUAAUAUGGAGGAUUCAAGGGUUAUCCGGAUUUGUUGGGUUUAAAGGGUGCGUAGGCGGUCGGGUAAGUUAGAGGUGAAAUCCCGAGGCUCAACUUCGGAAUUGCCUCUGAUACUGUUAGGCUAGAGAGUAGUUGCGGUAGGCGGAAUGUAUGGUGUAGCGGUGAAAUGCUUAGAGAUCAUACAGAACACCGAUUGCGAAGGCAGCUUACCAAGCUACUUCUGACGUUGAGGCACGAAAGCGUGGGGAGCAAACAGGAUUAGAUACCCGUGUAGUC
RNAcentral lists this ribosomal RNA (460 nucleotides) under uncultured bacterium. Its description in RNAcentral is "partial 16S ribosomal RNA". It matches the Rfam family "Bacterial small subunit ribosomal RNA", at positions 338 to 795 of the family's 1533-position model. The record is from RNAcentral.